This is a long non-coding RNA of Salmo salar (Atlantic salmon), 806 nucleotides long. RefSeq lists it as uncharacterized. The record is from RefSeq and is a predicted model, not a curated record. NCBI's taxonomy places the organism in Eukaryota, Metazoa, Chordata, Actinopteri, Salmoniformes, Salmonidae.
AAAAACUUCAGCAGGGUGUUGUUCUCAUUGGAUAAGACUGUCUAUGAUUGGUUAAACAAAGUACAGAGGAGGUGGUGGGAAGAGGUUCUCAAAAAGGUCUGUGGAAAGUACCUAACUAUCAUUGGACUAUAUACUGUGUUCAACAGUGUGUGUGAACUUGAAAGCAGACGUUUGUUGAAAAUAUUGUGUGCAAGACAAAUGGAUAACUCUCAAAUCCAGCAGGACUUUGACAGAUAUGACUCAAAAGGACAACGCAGAGCUUUGAUGUUGUGUAUCAAGAAGGAUCACAAGGGUGCUGAUGGUAAUCUCGUAAUAAUGAAGAAACUUUUCACGGAUUAUGGUUUCCUGUAUGAAAUUGAGAUUAACCCAACUAUAGAGAUUAAAUCAGUGUUCCUAAAUCCUAAUCCGGUAUAAUCCAGCCAAGAGGCCUUUGAUCGACUGAUAGCUGACAUGUUUAGGUAAGAUUUGGGCCAUUUUUAGGCCACUGCUUUAAAUUCUUGUCAUAAUUUGUAUUUCGUUUUUCAUCAAUGACGUCUGUUCAUGGACUUUACUGAAAGUAAAAGAGUCAAAAUGAGUUAUUUGAAUAUGUCACAUGUUUACUUAGAACCAUUGUACUGCACCUGUCUGUACUCAUUUCUGUAAUGAACACAACAUAUUUGACAGAUAAUGACGUUUAAUAAUAAAACAAAAUAUGAUUAUUAAAAUCUUGUGAUAAAGACUGGUUGUCACACACAGUACAGUCACUUCAAUCAAAUCAUCGGAUGGAUGGAUAAAUAUAUAACAACACCAUAGAGGGGGAAAGAACA